CCCCUAAAUUUCGAGUCUGACGGAGCACGCCGCGUGAGUGAUGAAGGUUUUCGGAUCGUAAAGCUCUGUUGUUAGGGAAGAACAAGUGCCGUUCAAAUAGGGCGGCACCUUGACGGUACCUAACCAGAAAGCCACGGCUAACUACGUGCCAGCAGCCGCGGUAAUACGUAGGUGGCAAGCGUUGUCCGGAAUUAUUGGGCGUAAAGGGCUCGCAGGCGGUUUCUUAAGUCUGAUGUGAAAGCCCCCGGCUCAACCGGGGAGGGUCAUUGGAAACUGGGGAACUUGAGUGCAGAAGAGGAGAGUGGAAUUCCACGUGUAGCGGUGAAAUGCGUAGAGAUGUGGAGGAACACCAGUGGCGAAGGCGACUCUCUGGUCUGUAACUGACGCUGAGGAGCGAAAGCGUGGGGAGCGAACAGGAUUAGAUACCCUGGUAGUCCACGCCGUAAACGAUGAGUGCUAAGUGUUAGGGGGUUUCCGCCCCUUAGUGCUGCAGCUAACGCAUUAAGCACUCC
RNAcentral lists this ribosomal RNA (512 nucleotides) under Bacillus amyloliquefaciens. RNAcentral describes it as "bacterial SSU rRNA". It matches the Rfam family "Bacterial small subunit ribosomal RNA", at positions 356 to 870 of the family's 1533-position model. The record is from RNAcentral. Lineage: Bacteria; Bacillati; Bacillota; Bacilli; Caryophanales; Bacillaceae.